RNAcentral lists this ribosomal RNA (876 nucleotides) under uncultured archaeon. RNAcentral's name for it is "bacterial SSU rRNA". It matches the Rfam family "Archaeal small subunit ribosomal RNA", at positions 1 to 872 of the family's 1478-position model. The record is from RNAcentral.
UUAAGUUUCUCUGGUUGAUCCUGCCAGCGGUCACUGCUAUCAGUGUUCGACUAAGCCAUGUGAGUCAAAUGUUCUUCGUGAACAUGGCGUACUGCUCAGUAACACGUGGACAACCUGGCCUAAGGACUGGAAUAACCCCGGAAAACUGGGGAUAAUACCGGAUAAAUCAUAGAUGCUGGAAUGCUCUGUGGUUAAAAGCUCCGGCGCCUUAGGAUGGAUCUGCGGCCUAUCAGGUAGUAGUGGGUGUAAUGUACCUACUAGCCUACGACGGGUACGGGUUGUGAGAGCAAGAGCCCGGAGAUGGAUUCUGAGACAUGAAUCCAGGCCCUACGGGGCGCAGCAGGCGCGAAAACUUUACAAUGCGGGAAACCGCGAUAAGGGGACACUGAGUGCCAGCACCAUGUGUUGGCUGUCCGCAUGUAUAAAUCACAUGUGUCAGCAAGGGCCGGGCAAGACCGGUGCCAGCCGCCGCGGUAACACCGGCGGCCCAAGUGGUGGCCACUAUUAUUGGGUCUAAAGGGUCCGUAGCCGGUUUGGUCAGUCUUCCGGGAAAUCUGACGGCUUAACCGUUAGGCUUUCGGGGGAUACUACCAGGCUUGGGACCGGGAGAGGUAAGAGGUACUACGGGGGUAGGAGUGAAAUCUUGUAAUCCCCGUGGGACCACCAGUGGCGAAGGCGUCUUACCAGGACGGGUCCGACGGUGAGGGACGAAAGCUGGGGGCACGAACCGGAUUAGAUACCCGGGUAGUCCCAGCUGUAAACUAUGCUCGCUAGGUGUCAGGGACGGUGCGACCGUUUCUGGUGCCGCAGGGAAGCCGUGAAGCGAGCCACCUGGGAAGUACGGUCGCAAGGCUGAAACUUAAAGGAAUUGGCGGG